RNAcentral lists this long non-coding RNA (658 nucleotides) under Anser cygnoides (Swan goose). Its description in RNAcentral is "lncRNA (ENSACDG00005008533.1)". Lineage: Eukaryota; Metazoa; Chordata; Aves; Anseriformes; Anatidae. The record is from RNAcentral.
GUAGUUUAUGGAGGGAUCUACCCCCAUAAUAAUAUAAUACGUAGGUACCAUAUCAUACUUCAUAUCAGUGUAACGCUUGCAAAUCCUUUUUUUUUUUUUUUUUUUUUUUGACCCUGUGAAACAUUCUGUCAGAGUCCUGAGUGCAUUAAUAAGUUUCAAUGACCCUGACUGCCUCACCUGUGUCCCCCCCACACCCAGGGCCACCUGAGCUCAGCCUGGGGGCAGCUGGUCCCUGCCACAGCUGUACCUGGUGAGUCCCCAGCCUGCCUUGAGCCAGACCUCCACCUGUGGGUUGACCUCCAUCUUGACCUCUUUGUGACCCUAAUAUUGCAUUAUGUUCUCAGUGCUUGGUGGGAUUUGGUUUCCAUCUCCAGUGUUGCAUCACUUGCCUUGCUUAGGUACUUGGAGAUGUGCUCUGGCUGAAGAGGUCUCUUCUUGACCUUCCAUGGGGUGUCCUCUGCUCUGGGUUGUCCUCCUAUUAGACAGCAGUCCUGCUUGGGUGGCUCCAUCCCAUGCUGAUCUGAGAAAACUUCCCCCGGCAAGGAAGGUGGGACUGGAACUGUGGUUGAGUAUACCUUCGGGGAGAAGCAACAGGUCUGGAACGGAUAUUAUGCAAACCCUACAACUCUACUGGUGCACGCUGCCUUGCAGGGAAUGA